CCUACGGGAGGCAGCAGUGGGGAAUCAUGGUUAAUGGGCGAAAGCCUGAACCUGCGACGCCGCGUGAGUGAUGAAGGUCGUAAGAUCGUAAAACUCUUUUCAGGGAUCUUAACGCACAGCUGUCAACAACAGCUGUGUCUGACUCUCCCUGGAAGAAGCCCCAGCCAACUACGUGCCAGCAGCCGCGGUAAU
This 192-nucleotide ribosomal RNA is filed under the name uncultured Caldisericum sp. RNAcentral describes it as "partial 16S ribosomal RNA". It matches the Rfam family "Bacterial small subunit ribosomal RNA", at positions 338 to 524 of the family's 1533-position model. Lineage: Bacteria; Pseudomonadati; Caldisericota; Caldisericia; Caldisericales; Caldisericaceae. The record is from RNAcentral.